CAGGUGCAUCCACAGUGCUGCAAAUGGCAACAGGUGAUUCUUAUAUCAUCCAGAAUUGAAAAGCACUGGUGUAGAAGCUGUAGAGAGUGGAGUGUAUCAGCAAAGGAAGCAGAAACAGUGUGGUCAGUGAGGCAAGAUGCAAACAAGAAAGCUUGUUACAGAUUUCAACCGAAGAAAACGUUUCAAGCAGGAGAGGGUGAGAAGUCAAAUACUGGAGAGAAGAAAGAAUUGGCCACUGUAGUUUCAGGCAACAUGGAGGGUGCUGUUAGACAAGAGCAGACUCAUUCCAGAGAGUGCCUACUAAGUGUCAUAUACAGAGGCAGAGCCAUGAAUUCUUGCUGUCAUAGAGCUACAGUUUCACUGAAGGCUGGAAUGAGAAGGCAUAUGAUAAAUAUGAAAUAAGCAGAUAUUGGCACUGUUGUAAAAAGAGGAAUGGUGAAGGCAGUGAUAAACACAAGAAGAUGAUUGUAAUGAUUGUACAUGGUUUUCAGUGGGUGAAAGGAAGACCAUGAUCGGUGUUAGAGCCAACGAAAAGGAGUUGGGAUGGCAGUGCCUGGCUGGCUCAGUUGGAAGAGCAUGUGACUCUUGAUCUCAAGGUUGUAAGUUUGAGCCCCAUGUUGGGUGUGGAGAUUACUUAAAUAAAUACAUAAAUAUUUAAAA
Felis catus (domestic cat) is the source of this 660-nucleotide long non-coding RNA. RefSeq lists it as uncharacterized. Lineage: Eukaryota; Metazoa; Chordata; Mammalia; Carnivora; Felidae. The record is from RefSeq and is a predicted model, not a curated record. The transcript is spliced from 3 exons.